Molecule: ribosomal RNA, 505 nt
Filed under: uncultured bacterium
Lineage: Bacteria
Description: partial 16S ribosomal RNA
Rfam family: Bacterial small subunit ribosomal RNA
Source: RNAcentral
GACGAACGCUGGCGGCGUGCCUAAUACAUGCAAGUCGAACGCACAGUUUAUACCGUAGCUUGCUACACCAUAGACUGUGAGUUGCGAACGGGUGAGUAACGCGUAGGUAACCUGCCUGGUAGCGGGGGAUAACUAUUGGAAACGAUAGCUAAUACCGCAUAAUAUUGAUUAUUGCAUGAUAAUUGAUUGAAAGAUGCUAUUGCAUCACUACCAGAUGGACCUGCGUUGUAUUAGCUAGUAGGUGAGGUAACGGCUCACCUAGGCGACGAUACAUAGCCGACCUGAGAGGGUGAUCGGCCACACUGGGACUGAGACACGGCCCAGACUCCUACGGGAGGCAGCAGUAGGGAAUCUUCGGCAAUGGACGAAAGUCUGACCGAGCAACGCCGCGUGAGUGAAGAAGGUUUUCGGAUCGUAAAGCUCUGUUGUAAGAGAAGAACGGGUGUGAGAGUGGAAAGUUCACACUGUGACGGUAUCUUACCAGAAAGAGACGGCUAACUACGUG